CUCUGCAUUGGGAGCAUGGAGUCUCAACCACUGGACCACCAGUGGCCGUUUUAUAAUUGCACUGACUUCUUUCCAACACCCGACACGUGCCUCACCAAUCGUCAGCCAAACAGCAGGUGCUCCGGGGACCCAGACCAUCCAAUGCUGAACUAAGGGAAAAUGAAAGAGACUCCAGCCCCGACUCCAUUAUCUGGCCUGAUGAGUGGGCUCUCGUGGACUCUCAUAACCUUUUGAUGAAUUUCAUGUUUUCCCCAAAGAGUCGCUGGAUUUGCUGCCCGGCUGGCCGUCUUUACUGGAGGCCCACUGCUUUUGCUCUUGACACUCCUGGGCCUGCUGGCUCCAGCUUCUCCUGGACACUGAAGGGAAGGGAAGAAAGUCAUUACGGUUGAUGAACAAGGAGAUGCUGGUGGCCUGAGCAGUAAGGGGCUGAGAUAGGCAGGGGCCCUGAAGAGUGUGGGAGGGCUUGAGAUGAACUUUCUCAGAAACAAUUUUCCAAGUACAUUUCAAGACUCUAAACAGAAAUUAAAAACAAAACAACACAGAAAACAUGAAAACCCCAGUCUAUGAGAGGGUGUGCCUCUCAUAGAUGCGGUUGACCAUCUGAGGGUGAGCACCCCAGCAGGGGAGGGUGGGGGUGGGAGAACGCGGAAGCCACUCUGUCCAGGGGGACCUCCUCGGUCACAGCUGCCCGUUCAUGCAGCACAGAGCCCGGAGGUGGCACUGCUGGACAGGUAUUCCAUCCGCUGCCUUCUGCACACCAUUUGGGGUUGGCCAUCCUGCUUCAAGGACAGGAUAUGAGGAGGCCCCGCAGUGAUCUCUGUCAGGCCCUUCUGUGUCUCAGAAAACCUCAGUUUCACUCUCUAGGAAAUGGAAUAAAGUCUUGUGGAAAUGAAUUAAUGCUGCCUCUAUUCAAUCCUUUAGGAACAGCUUCCAGGUAAAAAAAAA
Odocoileus virginianus texanus is the source of this 945-nucleotide non-coding RNA. The record is from RefSeq and is a predicted model, not a curated record. Lineage: Eukaryota; Metazoa; Chordata; Mammalia; Artiodactyla; Cervidae.